ACUCUAAGCGGUGGAUCACUCGGCUCAUGGGUCGAUGAAGAACGCAGCAAACUGUGCGUCAUCGUGUGAACUGCAGGACACAUGAACAUCGACAUUUUGAACGCAUAUCGCAGUCCAUGCUGUUAUGUACUUUAAUUAAUUUUAUAGUGCUGCUUGGACUACAUAUGGUUGAGGGUUGUAAGACUAUGCUAAUUAAGUUGCUUAUAAAUUUUUAUAAGCAUAUGGUAUAUUAUUGGAUAAAUAUAAUAAUUUUUAUUCAUAAUAUUAAAAAAUAAAUGAAAAACAUUAUCUCACAUUUGAAUGUGAAAAACGAAGAGAAAUAUUUUCUUUUUCAAUCAAAUAAUACUGAGAAAUGUCUAGCAUAAAAAAUUGAAAUAUUUUUCAUCUAGAAUUGUCUCUUAUUAAUGAUUCGGAAAUAGAAAAAUCUUGGUUAUGUUAUUAUUCUUCGUUGGUUCGUUAAAAAUGGAUAAAUAAAAACUUUGCAUACAAGAAUUAAUAAAAAUGUUAUAACGAAUUUAAUUAAAUGUUUUAUCAUUAUAUAUAAAGAAUUUAUGGCAAGAUAAAGUUAUAUACAACCUCAACUCAUAUGGGACUACCCCCUGAAUUUAAGCAUAUUAAUUAGGGGAGGAAAAGAAACUAACAAGGAUUUUCUUAGUAGCGGCGAGCGAAAAGAAAACAGUUCAGCACUAAGUCACUUUGUCUAUAUGGCAAAUGUGAGAUGCAGUGUAUGGAGCGUCAAUAUUCUAGUAUGAGAAAUUAACGAUUUAAGUCCUUCUUAAAUGAGGCCAUUUACCCAUAGAGGGUGCCAGGCCCGUAUAACGUUAAUGAUUACUAGAUGAUGUUUCCAAAGAGUCGUGUUGCUUGAUAGUGCAGCACUAAGUGGGUGGUAAACUCCAUCUAAAACUAAAUAUAACCAUGAGACCGAUAGUAAACAAGUACCGUGAGGGAAAGUUGAAAAGAACUCUGAAUAGAGAGUUAAACAGUACGUGAAACUGCUUAGAGGUUAAGCCCGAUGAACCUGAAUAUCCGUUAUGGAAAAUUCAUCAUUAAAAUUGUAAUAUUUAAAUAAUAUUAUGAGAAUAGUGUGCAUUUUUUCCAUAUAAGGACAUUGUAAUCUAUUAGCAUAUACCAAAUUUAUCAUAAAAUAUAACUUAUAGUUUAUUCCAAUUAAAUUGCUUGCAUUUUAACACAGAAUAAAUGUUAUUAAUUUGAUAAAGUGCUGAUAGAUUUAUAUGAUUACAGUGCGUUAAUUUUUCGGAAUUAUAUAAUGGCAUAAUUAUCAUUGAUUUUUGUGUUUAUUAUAUGCACUUGUAUGAUUAACAAUGCGAAAGAUUCAGGAUACCUUCGGGACCCGUCUUGAAACACGGACCAAGGAGUCUAACAUAUGUGCAAGUUAUUGGGAUAUAAACCUAAUAGCGUAAUUAACUUGACUAAUAAUGGGAUUAGUUUUUUAGCUAUUUAUAGCUAAUUAACACAAUCCCGGGGCGUUCUAUAUAGUUAUGUAUAAUGUAUAUUUAUAUUAUUUAUGCCUCUAACUGGAACGUACCUUGAGCAUAUAUGCUGUGACCCGAAAGAUGGUGAACUAUACUUGAUCAGGUUGAAGUCAGGGGAAACCCUGAUGGAAGACCGAAACAGUUCUGACGUGCAAAUCGAUUGUCAGAAUUGAGUAUAGGGGCGAAAGACCAAUCGAACCAUCUAGUAGCUGGUUCCUUCCGAAGUUUCCCUCAGGAUAGCUGGUGCAUUUUAAUAUUAUAUAAAAUAAUCUUAUCUGGUAAAGCGAAUGAUUAGAGGCCUUAGGGUCGAAACGAUCUUAACCUAUUCUCAAACUUUAAAUGGGUAAGAACCUUAACUUUCUUGAUAUGAAGUUCAAGGUUAUGAUAUAAUGUGCCCAGUGGGCCACUUUUGGUAAGCAGAACUGGCGCUGUGGGAUGAACCAAACGUAAUGUUACGGUGCCCAAAUUAACAACUCAUGCAGAUACCAUGAAAGGCGUUGGUUGCUUAAAACAGCAGGACGGUGAUCAUGGAAGUCGAAAUCCGCUAAGGAGUGUGUAACAACUCACCUGCCGAAGCAACUAGCCCUUAAAAUGGAUGGCGCUUAAGUUGUAUACCUAUACAUUACCGCUAAAGUAGAUGAUUUAUAUUACUUGUGAUAUAAAUUUUGAAACUUUAGUGAGUAGGAAGGUACAAUGGUAUGCGUAGAAGUGUUUGGCGUAAGCCUGCAUGGAGCUGCCAUUGGUACAGAUCUUGGUGGUAGUAGCAAAUAAUCGAAUGAGACCUUGGAGGACUGAAGUGGAGAAGGGUUUCGUGUGAACAGUGGUUGAUCACGAGUUAGUCGGUCCUAAGUUCAAGGCGAAAGCCGAAAAUUUUCAAGUAAAACAAAAAUGCCUAACUAUAUAAACAAAGCGAAUUAUAAUACACUUGAAUAAUUUUGAACGAAAGGGAAUACGGUUCCAAUUCCGUAACCUGUUGAGUAUCCGUUUGUUAUUAAAUAUGGGCCUCGUGCUCAUCCUGGCAACAGGAACGACCAUAAAGAAGCCGUCGAGAGAUAUCGGAAGAGUUUUCUUUUCUGUUUUAUAGCCGUACUACCAUGGAAGUCUUUCGCAGAGAGAUAUGGUAGAUGGGCUAGAAGAGCAUGACAUAUACUGUUGUGUCGAUAUUUUCUCCUCGGACCUUGAAAAUUUAUGGUGGGGACACGCAAACUUCUCAACAGGCCGUACCAAUAUCCGCAGCUGGUCUCCAAGGUGAAGAGUCUCUAGUCGAUAGAAUAAUGUAGGUAAGGGAAGUCGGCAAAUUAGAUCCGUAACUUCGGGAUAAGGAUUGGCUCUGAAGAUUGAGAUAGUCGGGCUUGAUUGGGAAACAAUAACAUGGUUUAUGUGCUCGUUCUGGGUAAAUAGAGUUUCUAGCAUUUAUGUUAGUUACUUGUUCCCCGGAUAGUUUAGUUACGUAGCCAAUUGUGGAACUUUCUUGCUAAAAUUUUUAAGAAUACUAUUUGGGUUAAACCAAUUAGUUCUUAUUAAUUAUAACGAUUAUCAAUUAACAAUCAAUUCAGAACUGGCACGGACUUGGGGAAUCCGACUGUCUAAUUAAAACAAAGCAUUGUGAUGGCCCUAGCGGGUGUUGACACAAUGUGAUUUCUGCCCAGUGCUCUGAAUGUCAAAGUGAAGAAAUUCAAGUAAGCGCGGGUCAACGGCGGGAGUAACUAUGACUCUCUUAAGGUAGCCAAAUGCCUCGUCAUCUAAUUAGUGACGCGCAUGAAUGGAUUAACGAGAUUCCUACUGUCCCUAUG
RNAcentral lists this ribosomal RNA (3286 nucleotides) under Drosophila melanogaster (fruit fly). RNAcentral's name for it is "eukaryotic LSU rRNA". The stretch from base 573 to 3286 matches the Rfam family "Eukaryotic large subunit ribosomal RNA", at positions 1 to 2349 of the family's 3401-position model. Lineage: Eukaryota; Metazoa; Arthropoda; Insecta; Diptera; Drosophilidae. The record is from RNAcentral.